Molecule: ribosomal RNA, 478 nt
Filed under: uncultured bacterium
Lineage: Bacteria
Description: partial 16S ribosomal RNA
Rfam family: Bacterial small subunit ribosomal RNA
Source: RNAcentral
GACGAACGCUGGCGGCGUGCUUAACACAUGCAAGUCGAACGGUAAGGCUCUUCGGGGUACACGAGUGGCGAACGGGUGAGUAACACGUGGGUGAUCUGCCCUGCACUUCGGGAUAAGCCUGGGAAACUGGGUCUAAUACCGGAUAGGACCACUGCCUGCAUGGGUGGUGGUGGAAAGCUUUUGCGGUGUGGGAUGGGCCCGCGGCCUAUCAGCUUGUUGGUGGGGUGAUGGCCUACCAAGGCGACGACGGGUAGCCGGCCUGAGAGGGUGACCGGCCAAACUGGGGCUGGGGUACGGCCCAGACUCCUAAGGGAAGCAGGAGUGGGGAAUAUUGCACCAUGGGCGCAAGCCUGAUGCAGCGACGCCGCGUGAGGGAUGACGGCCUUCGGGUUGUAAACCUCUUUUAGUAGGGAAGAAGCGAAAGUGACGGUACCUGCAGAAAAAGCACCGGCUAACUACGUGCCAGCAGCCGCAGUAA